RNAcentral lists this ribosomal RNA (455 nucleotides) under uncultured organism. RNAcentral describes it as "bacterial SSU rRNA". It matches the Rfam family "Bacterial small subunit ribosomal RNA", at positions 28 to 507 of the family's 1533-position model. The record is from RNAcentral.
GAUGAACGCUUGCGAUGUGUCUAAGGCAUGCAAGUCGAAUGCUAGUAGCAAUACUGGCAUGGCAAACGGGAGAGUAACACAUUGGUAACUUACCUCGAAGUCGGGCAUAACCCGGAGAAAUCCGGAGUAAUUCCCGAUGGCCGUGGGGGGACAAAAGUCAUUCCCACGUAAAGUUUUUUCGCUUCGAGAGAGACCUAUGUUCUAUCAGCUAGUUGGUAAGGUAACGGCUUACCAAGGCUACGACGGAUAGCGGGUGUGAGAGCAUGGCCCGCCUCACUGGGACUGAGAAACUGCCCAGACUCCUACGGGAGGCUGCAGUCAAGAAUCUUCCUCAAUGGCCGAAAGGCUGAAGGAGCGACAUCGCGUGCAGGAGGAAGCCCUUCGGGGUGUAAACUGCUUUUCUCUGGGAAGAAACAAUGACGGUACCAGAGGAAUAAGGGGUUGCUAAACUCGUG